Molecule: ribosomal RNA, 583 nt
Filed under: uncultured bacterium
Lineage: Bacteria
Description: bacterial SSU rRNA
Rfam family: Bacterial small subunit ribosomal RNA
Source: RNAcentral
AGGAAUCUGCCUGGUAGUGGGGGAUAACGUUCGGAAACGGACGCUAAUACCGCAUACGUCCUACGGGAGAAAGCAGGGGACCUUCGGGCCUUGCGCUAUCAGAUGAGCCUAGGUCGGAUUAGCUAGUUGGUGGGGUAAUGGCUCACCAAGGCGACGAUCCGUAACUGGUCUGAGAGGGUGAUCAGUCACACUGGAACUGAGACACGGUCCAGACUCCUACGGGAGGCAGCAGUGGGGAAUAUUGGACAAUGGGCGAAAGCCUGAUCCAGCCAUGCCGCGUGUGUGAAGAAGGUCUUCGGAUUGUAAAGCACUUUAAGUUGGGAGGAAGGGUUGUAGAUUAAUACUCUGCAAUUUUGACGUUACCGACAGAAUAAGCACCGGCUAACUCUGUGCCAGCAGCCGCGGUAAUACAGAGGGUGCAAGCGUUAAUCGGAAUUACUGGGCGUAAAGCGCGCGUAGGUGGUUUGUUAAGUUGGAUGUGAAAUCCCCGGGCUCAACCUGGGAACUGCAUUCAAAACUGACUGACUAGAGUAUGGUAGAGGGUGGUGGAAUUUCCUGUGUAGCGGUGAAAUGCGUAGAUAUA